UGUUCAGGGGUAAACCUGUGGUUCCCGAAAGUUCGAACGGGGAGAUUCAAUUGCCUCGCCGGUUAUGACCAUUUAACAGUGAUGUUUAUAUAUGAGACAUUAUACGCGGUUACUAGUUAAUUCCUGUAAUUUCAGUGUAUGGUGCUCCGCUGUUUUAUGCUAUACUGUUUAUAGCCGGAGGCGUGCACUUCUCCCCUUGUAGGACGUCGUGACCCAUUGGAUUAUGUUGUCUAAGGCUCAUGAUGGAGACCGUGGCAUUGAGUUUCGGCUUUAAUGACCCGGACUUGUGAUGUCCCGACAUCUAUCCGAUGGUAGUAUUAUGAUGAUGGGUCGUUUGGAUAUUAACGUACAGAUCUAUGACAAAUGCUUAUAUGGUAAUAUUAAGUGGAAAUCGGAUUAUAUGCCGGUUCUACACGUAUGGCAUUGUUGGUUAUAGUAUUCUCGUACAGGUCCUUAUCAUCAGUCAACGGCGUUUAUGUUUUGGGUAAUUACAGGACCCGUCUUGAAACACGGACCAAGGAGUCUAGCAUGUGCGCGAGUCAUUGGGACUCAGUGAAACCUAAAGGCGUAAUGAAAGUGAAGUAUUUGUGGAUUUUCGUAAUUCACUUGUUUAAGGGAAGAUGGGUAACGUUAUUUAUGUUACCUCGCAUUCCCGGGGCGUCGCGUACUUAUUGCAAGUUGCGGCGCACCAAGAGCGUACACGCUGGGACCCGAAAGAUGGUGAACUAUGCCUGGUCAGGAUGAAGUCAGGGGAAACCCUGAUGGAGGUCCGUAGCGAUUCUGACGUGCAAAUCGAUCGUAUGAACUGGGUAUAGGGGCGAAAGACUAAUCGAACCAUC
This 839-nucleotide ribosomal RNA is filed under the name Anchomenidius astur. Its description in RNAcentral is "eukaryotic LSU rRNA". It matches the Rfam family "Eukaryotic large subunit ribosomal RNA", at positions 406 to 944 of the family's 3401-position model. The record is from RNAcentral. Lineage: Eukaryota; Metazoa; Arthropoda; Insecta; Coleoptera; Carabidae.